This 1341-nucleotide ribosomal RNA is filed under the name metagenome. RNAcentral's name for it is "SSU rRNA". It matches the Rfam family "Eukaryotic small subunit ribosomal RNA", at positions 402 to 1801 of the family's 1831-position model. The record is from RNAcentral.
AACGGCUACCACAUCUAAGGAAGGCAGCAGGCGCGUAAAUUACCCAAUCCUGACUCAGGGAGGUAGUGACAAGAAAUAGCAAACUGGGGACCUCACGGUCUCACGGUAUUGCAAUGAGAACAAUUUAAAACACUUAGCGAGGAUCAAGUGGAGGACAAGUCUGGUGCCAGCACCCGCGGUAAUUCCAGCUCCACUAGCGUAUAUUAAAGUUGUUGCAGUUAAAAAGCUCGUAGUUGAACCUCUGUCUGGGGCUAAUUUUGGCUUAGGUCAGGUUAGUUCUAGGCAUCCGCCUACAAGACUUAGAGGGCAUUUACUUGUUCACUAGGAGGAGUAGGCAUUUUACUUUGAAAAAAUUAGAGUGUUUAAGGCAGGCAAUAGCUCGCAUAUAUUAGCAUGGAAUAAUAGAAUAGGACACUUUUCCAUUUCGUUGGUUAUUGGAAUCGUGUAAUGAUUAAUAGGGACAGUUGUGGGCAUUUGUAUUUAAUUGUCAGAGGUGAAAUUCUUGGAUUUAUUAAAGACAAACUAACGCGAAAGCAUUUGCCAAGGAUGUUUUCAUUAAUCAAGAACGAAAGUUAGGGGAUCAAAGACGAUCAGAUACCGUCCUAGUCUUAACUAUAAACUAUUCCGACUCAAUGUUUGACUGGCUUAUAUAACCAGUUGAGCGUUGUAUGAGAAAUCAAAGUCUUUAGGUUCUGGGGGGAGUAUGGUUGCAAAGCUGAAACUUAAAGGAAUUGACGGAAGAGCACAACCAGGAGUGGAUUCUGCGGCUUAAUUUGACUCAACACGGGGAAACUUACCAGGUUAAAACAAUAGUGGGAUUGACAGUUUGAGAGCGCUUUCUUGAUUUGUUGGGUGGUGGUGCAUGGCCGUUCUUAGUUGGUGGAGUGAUUGUCUGCUUAAUUGCGUUAACGAACGAGACCUUAACCUGCUUACUAGACUAAUGAUCAGUAAUCGUUAGCUCUUCUUAGAGGGACUUUGGUUGUUUUAACCCCAAGGAAGUUUGAGGCAAUAACAGGUCUGUGAUGCCCUUAGAUAUCCUGGGCCGCACGCGUCAUACGAUGACUAGUUCAGAAAGUUUUCUCCUGACCCGGAAGGGGAUGGGUAAUCUUGAUAAUACUAGUCGUGUUAGGGAUCGAUCUUUGCAAUUAUAGAUCUUGAACGAGGAAUUCCUAGUAAGUGCGGUUCAUCAGACCGUACUGAUUACGUCCCUGCUCUUUGUACACACCGCCCGUCGCUUCUACCGAGUGGGUGGUCCGGUGAGAUACUUGAACUUCUUAAGCAAUUGAGAGGAAAGAUUAUCAAACCUAUCCACCUCGAGGAAGAAGAAGUCGUAACAAGAUU